GAACUCCGGCCGGGGAGUACCCCGGGCCCGUCCAUAGGCGCCCGGCUCAGAUGACCGGACGGCAGCCGGGUACACCUGGCGCCGUCCCCGACCCCGCCCCUGGCCGGGCGGCACCCGGAAAGCUCCCCGCCGGAGCCAGAGCGGCGAAGCAGGGCCAUGGCGGCAGCGCCAGCAGUGUGCGCCCCGCAGGGUCCCCCGCCGGGUGCACCAUCCCCGCCGGUCAGCGCGCCCGCGCCCGCGUCCGGCCUGGGCCGUUGCCGGAUGGCGCUGUUGCUGGCCGUGGCGCUGGACGUGGCGGGCAUGGCGUCGCUGCUGACCGGCGUGUUUGCGCAGCUGCAGGUGCGGGGUCGUGACUUCGGCGACUUGCUCAUUUACUCGGGCGCGCUGCUGGUCUUCAUGAGCCUGCUGGGCUGGAUCCUAUGGUACACUGGCAACAUCGAGAUCUCGCGCCAGGAGCUCGAGCGCGACUACGGCCUGCAGCCCUCCGCGCUCGCCCGCCUGGCGCGCAAGCUGUCUCGCCGCUGGUCGGCGUCGGCUUCAGCCGCCGCGGGCCAGCGUACGACUCCUGACUCCCGGGGAGCGCGCCGCGCCACCCGCACGCCCCUGCCGCCCAACGCCGGCUCCCGCCGCGUACGCUUGCAGCUCGCUACUCUCGAGGCCGCGCCCGGGGCGGCGGGGGCCGGCACUGAGUGAGAGCCCGAGCAGGAGUGCCCUUGCUGUCUGUACUCCACAGAAAACUUCCCCUGUGUCCUUUAAGAUCCGGCUCAACUCUGCUGCCUUUCUCUGGGUCUUCACAUUACCAGCUCAUGGCCCCACCUGCCAGGACCCGACCAAGAUGGGCAGCUGCUCCCAACAUCCCGUGGCCGCCAGGAUGCCUCCCUGUGCUCCUCUGUCACCUGGAUAAAUGACUGCUUCCCA
RNA transcript from Artibeus jamaicensis (Jamaican fruit-eating bat), 918 nucleotides. It is a transcript of the gene named transmembrane protein 238, with no coding region annotated. The transcript is spliced from 3 exons. The record is from RefSeq and is a predicted model, not a curated record. NCBI's taxonomy places the organism in Eukaryota, Metazoa, Chordata, Mammalia, Chiroptera, Phyllostomidae.